RNAcentral lists this ribosomal RNA (113 nucleotides) under Cordyceps sp. RR-2011. Its description in RNAcentral is "5.8S ribosomal RNA". It matches the Rfam family "5.8S ribosomal RNA", at positions 1 to 112 of the family's 154-position model. Rfam says of the family: 5.8S ribosomal RNA (5.8S rRNA) is a component of the large subunit of the eukaryotic ribosome. It is transcribed by RNA polymerase I as part of the 45S precursor that also contains 18S and 28S rRNA. Functionally, it is thought that 5.8S rRNA may be involved in ribosome translocation. The record is from RNAcentral. Lineage: Eukaryota; Fungi; Ascomycota; Sordariomycetes; Hypocreales; Cordycipitaceae.
AAACUUUCAACAACGGAUCUCUUGGCUCUGGCAUCGAUGAAGAACGCAGCGAAAUGCGAUAAGUAAUGUGAAUUGCAGAACUCAGCGAACCAUCGAAUCUUUGAACGCACAUU